Molecule: unclassified non-coding RNA, 20 nt
Filed under: Expression vector pKK70
Also listed under: 1 other name
Source: RNAcentral
CGGCAGAUGGCUGGGGGCUG